This 1274-nucleotide long non-coding RNA is filed under the name Equus caballus (horse). RNAcentral's name for it is "lncRNA (ENSECAG00000056158.1)". The record is from RNAcentral. Lineage: Eukaryota; Metazoa; Chordata; Mammalia; Perissodactyla; Equidae.
AUGACAUCUACCUCCCUCAAGUUAUUGUGUCAUCUGGCACAGCUCUUAGGGAUUAAUUCUAGAUCCUUCACAGAGACUAUCAGCAGAAACUAAAAGAGCUAACAAAUUAAAAAAUGCACACCAUUAUGACAUCAAAAAUGAACCCAAUAAAGAAGGAAAACUCUAGGAGAUGCUGAGUCCAGGCAGCUCGGUCUGGGAACUUAGGUUUCACAGCAACAGCUUGAGUUGGGGGAGAGGGUUUCUCCCAUUCUCCAUGGAGAAGGCUGCUCGCUUUGGCCCACACACGGCUCUGGAGGACCUGGUAGUGACAGUAGACACAUGCAGCCAUGACUGGGCAGAGACCAGUCUGUGCCUGCAGUGCUGGCAAUAAAUGACUUGGCGGCAGCAAUGACAGAAGAUGGCAGCUUCAGCACAGGCAGGUCAAGACGCAGAGCUGCUGGGAAGACAGUGUAAUCCAGGGAGCCCCAGCAAGACAGAAGAAAAUGACACACACACCGGGGCAGCUGAGGGAGUGUGUCCACAGCCUGGGGCGCACGCCCAGAGGCUUCACUGCUGUUUUCUCAAGGUGAUGGAAAUAAGUGGUGACAAGACAGAAACGGUGCCCAUUCUCACAAAACUCACAUCCUAGUGGGGAACCAAGUAAACAAAUGAGAUAAUUUCAGUUGCACGUGUGAAAUUAUCACCUACAAAGUUACCAGUGCCCGGGUUGGGAGCCAAUUCCCCACGGGUCUCUCAAAUUUCUUCAUGCCUUCUGAACAAGGGCGUUAACAGUUUUUUCUGGACUACGUUCAACAGAAGUCUGCAUAGGGCCUCAAUUCUGGCUAACAGUUGGGUUCCUUGUUACCUCUCAACUUCACAUCUUCUAGAGACGAAAUCUUCAAUAUGGUUCCACACCCACACGUCCGAUGCCUGAACUGGUCCUCUGGAACAUCUGGGACGAGCCAUGCAUUCUGUCUCCAUGUGGCCUCUUGACAUGCCUAGCUUGAGCGUCUUCACAGCAUGGGCUUCUUCGUGGCGUAGUAGUCUCAGGGAAUGUUAUGGGGAAAAGAAUGAAGCUCCCAACUCUUUUAGACAUCGGAAUUGACAUGAAGUUCAUCCAGCACUUGCUAUGCUAGUCACGUAUAUAAAGGGGAGAGCAAAUCAACAUCUCUUCCCUUCUGCAGCCUUACCUUGUGGAAUGAGCAAGAGCCAUGGAUUUCUAAAAUGAUUUCAAAAAUCUUACAUUGUGUUAUGAACCAUAUGCCAGGGUUUAUUUCCUUAAAGUGUUAAAAGCC